UACGUAGGGGGCAAGCGUUGUCCGGAAUCAUUGGGCGUAAAGCGCGUGUAGGCGGCUGAGUAAGUCUGCUCUGAAAGCCCGGGGCUCACCCCCGGGAGGCGGGUGGAUACUGCUCAGCUCGAGUCCGGAAGAGGAGUGUGGAAUUCCUGGUGUAGCGGUGAAAUGCGCAGAUAUCCGGAGGAACCCCUAUGGCGAAGGCAGCACUCUGGGACGGUACUGACGCUGAGACGCGAAAGCGUGGGGAGCAAACAGG
RNAcentral lists this ribosomal RNA (253 nucleotides) under uncultured bacterium. RNAcentral's name for it is "partial 16S ribosomal RNA". It matches the Rfam family "Bacterial small subunit ribosomal RNA", at positions 524 to 776 of the family's 1533-position model. The record is from RNAcentral.